GACGUAGGGCGCGAGCGUUGUCCGGAUUUAUUGGGCGUAAAGAGCUCGUAGGCGGCUUGUCGCGUCGUUCGUGAAAACUCACAGCUCAACUGUGAGCUUGCGGUCGAUACGGGCAGGCUAGAGUUCGGUAGGGGAGACUGGAAUUCCUGGUGUAGCGGUGAAAUGCGCAGAUAUCGGGAGGAACACCGGUGGCGAAGGCGGUUCUCUGGGCCUGUACUGACGCUGAGGAGCGAAAGCGUGGGGAGCGAACAGG
RNAcentral lists this ribosomal RNA (253 nucleotides) under uncultured bacterium. RNAcentral's name for it is "partial 16S ribosomal RNA". It matches the Rfam family "Bacterial small subunit ribosomal RNA", at positions 524 to 776 of the family's 1533-position model. The record is from RNAcentral.